Molecule: long non-coding RNA, 207 nt
Filed under: Prunus persica (peach)
Lineage: Eukaryota; Viridiplantae; Streptophyta; Magnoliopsida; Rosales; Rosaceae
Description: long non-coding RNA (PPER_LNC000627)
Source: RNAcentral
UUGAGUUUUUGUUUAUGUGUGGCAGUUGGCCUUCUCAAAUACAUACGUACUUUUGACAUUGGGGGGGAAGUGUUUCUUGUCAACAAAGUUACUUGAAAAAAGGUCACCUACGACUUGAAAAUUAAGGUAUAUAAGGAAUAUAUAUUAGGUUUGAUUCUUUUUUGUUUGUCAAGUAGGGGGAAUAUUAGGGUUUUGCAUACACGAGGC